CCUACGGGAGGCAGCAGUGGGGAAUAUUGCACAAUGGGCGCAAGCCUGAUGCAGCCAAGCCGCGUGUGUGAAGAAGGCCUUCGGGUUGUAAAGCACUUUCAGUCGUGAGGAAGGUAGUGUAGUUAAUAGCUGCAUUAUUUGACGUUAGCGACAGAAGAAGCACCGGCUAACUCCGUGCCAGCAGCCGCGGUAAUACGGAGGGUGCGAGCGUUAGUCGGAAUUACAGGGCGUAAAGCGCAUGCAGGUGGUUUGUUAAGUCAGAUGUGAAAGCCCGGGGCUCAACCUCGGAAUAGCAUUUGAAACUGGCAGACUAGAGUACUGUAGAGGGGGGUAGAAUUUCAGGUGUAGCGGUGAAAUGCGUAGAGAUCUGAAGGAAUACCGGUGGCGAAGGCGGCCCCCUGGACAGAUACUGACACUCAGAUGCGAAAGCGUGGGGAGCAAACAGGAUUAGAUACCCCGGUAGUC
Molecule: ribosomal RNA, 465 nt
Filed under: uncultured bacterium
Lineage: Bacteria
Description: bacterial SSU rRNA
Rfam family: Bacterial small subunit ribosomal RNA
Source: RNAcentral